GAUGAACGCUGGCGGCGUGCCUAACACAUGCAAGUCGAACGGAGAUUUAACGCUGAUGAGGCUUCGGCCAAAUCUUGUUAAAUCUUAGUGGCGGACGGGUGAGUAACGCGUGGGCAACCUGCCUCAUACUGGGGGAUAGCAGUUGGAAACGACUGAUAAUACCGCAUAAGCGCACGGUGUCGCAUGACACAGUGUGAAAAACUCCGGUGGUAUGAGAUGGGCCCGCGUCAGAUUAGCUAGUUGGUAAGGUAACGGCUUACCAAGGCGACGAUCUGUAUCCGGACUGAUAGGUCGGACGGCCACAUUGGGACUGAGACACGGCCCAAACUCCUACGGGAGGCAGCAGUGGGGGAUAUUGCACAAUGGAGGAAACUCUGAUGCAGCGACGCCGCGUGAGUGAAGAAGUAUUUCGGUAUGUAAAGCUCUAUCAGCAGGGAAGAAAGACUCGCAAGAGAGAUGACGGUACCUGACUAAGAAGCCCCGGCUAACUACGUGCCAGCAGCCGCGGUAAUACGUAGGGGGCAAGCGUUAUCCGGAUUUACUGGGUGUAAAGGGAGCGCAGACGGUUAUGCAAGUCUGAAGUGAAACCCCACGGCUCAACCGUGGGCUUGCUUUGGAAACUGUAUAACUAGAGUACUGGAGAGGUAAGCGGAAUUCCUAGUGUAGCGGUGAAAUGCGUAGAUAUUAGGAGGAACAUCGGUGGCGAAGGCGGCUUACUGGACAGCAACUGACGUUGAGGCUCGAAGGCGUGGGGAGCAAACA
This 762-nucleotide ribosomal RNA is filed under the name uncultured bacterium. RNAcentral describes it as "bacterial SSU rRNA". It matches the Rfam family "Bacterial small subunit ribosomal RNA", at positions 28 to 774 of the family's 1533-position model. The record is from RNAcentral.